CCUACGGGAGGCAGCAGUGAGGAAUAUUGGUCAAUGGGCUUACGCCUGAACCAGCCAAGUCGCGUGAGGGAUGACUGCCCUAUGGGUUGUAAACUUCUUUUGUAAGGGAGUAAUUCGCGUUACGUGUAGCGCUAUCCAUAGUACCUGUAGAUAAAGCCUCGCGUAACUCCGUCCAAGCAGCGGCGGUAAUACGGAGGAUGCGGGCGUUAUCGGGUUUGAUGGGGUUUAAGGGGUCCGUAGGCGGAAUGCCAAGUGAGCGGGAAAAUCGCGGGCUUAAACCGGGCCGCGCCGGGGGAACUGGCGUUCUUGAGUGGGCGGAAAGCAGGCGGAAUUCGUGGUGUAGCGGUGAAAUGCAUAGAUAUCACGCAGAACUCCGAUUGCGAAGGCAGCAUGCCGGAGCGCAACUGACGCUGAAGCACGAAAGCGUGGGUAUCGAACAGGAUUAGAUACCCGUGUAGUC
Molecule: ribosomal RNA, 460 nt
Filed under: uncultured bacterium
Lineage: Bacteria
Description: partial 16S ribosomal RNA
Rfam family: Bacterial small subunit ribosomal RNA
Source: RNAcentral